Tympanuchus pallidicinctus (lesser prairie-chicken) is the source of this 2050-nucleotide long non-coding RNA. RefSeq lists it as uncharacterized. The record is from RefSeq and is a predicted model, not a curated record. The transcript is spliced from 8 exons. Lineage: Eukaryota; Metazoa; Chordata; Aves; Galliformes; Phasianidae.
UCCUAGAGCUAUUGAAGAGCUGGCUACCAGUGGGGAAGGAUCUCUUCUGGAGAUCUGCUCUGCUGGUGUUUUGUGGGUGAGCCCAGGAUAGGGCUGCUGUUCAAAGCCCCUUUCCUGUGCUGGAGCUGUGCAGUCCCCAGGGCUUGAUGGUCUUUGGAGAAAGUGGCCACGUUCAGGAGAACAGCUACCCUGACAACAGCCCAUGCAUGUGGAAUGUAACAGUACUGAAGGAGAAAAUGAUCCUAAUCUACUUCAGCAAAUUAGAUGUAGCAUGUUGGAUGUGACUGUGACUAUGUGUGCCUCUAUUCAAGCAGAAGAGAGCUGAUCAAUAAGGUCUGUGGAGGCAUAUUCCCAGCCCUCUGCUGAUAGUCAGACUGGGACAACAUUACGUUUGUUUCUAAUGGGGAUGAUGCUAGCUGUGUCCAAGCUUGCCAUCGCAGCUGUCCGUAAGGACUCUAAAGCAGGUUUGGGCUGUGGGAGUGUUGCAAUACUGGUGGAAAAGAGAAAGAUUGAUACUGCUAAUUACCCUGGCUUGUAUCCCAGGAACAUGAAGUGCCACUGGCUCAUUGAGGCUCCAGCAGAGUAUGCUGUAAAGGUAAUAAAGGAGAAACUGCACUUAAACCUCUGCACUGAAAGCCAUUCAGGGGAGUGAUUCAAUAAAAUCCUGCCAGAAACAUCUGUGACAAGCAAGAACAUAAAUUGUAAGGUUUCUAGGUCGCUGACUUUUUACAGGGCAUAUUUUGUCAAUUAAACACACUCUGAAUCAGUGUGCGGGGCUGCUGUGACUGUUCUAAGUGCUUUAAGUCUGGUGGCACCAAUCUCAUCACUACAUAGCUUUAUCUUGAAAACCAGAGCGUUUGAAGGGAAAGAAGUACAGACCACGUUGUGAACAGCCAGCUUUUUCCUUGUGGCAGUGUUAAUAACCCCAGGCUGUUCCUUAGCCCCAUACCAAGGUGUUUAUUCUUGUGUGUGAGUAGUGUAGUGAUGGUUCCCACACACAGUACCAGCAUCUCUAGUUUUACUGCACAUCUCUGUUAGAGUGCAGCAAGCAUCCAAAUGGCGUUGUUCUGUGUUGUCAUCUUAUGUUGAUUGGAGCAUCUUUUCUCCCCUGCUGCCUUGGUUAAGCGAUGGAAAAACAGUGUUAAACCUAGGGAUGCCCAAGGGUAUGGAAACCUAUUCUUUUGGUUACCACUGCUCUGUUGGCGUUAGAUGUUUUGGUCUGGAUUAAAACCAAACCACCAAAGGAAAAGCUCUUGAAAGAGCAUUCCAUGGGAGAUAUCCUUCUAAAGUAUAAGGCACAGAGUGUCCCAGUAGAGAUAGCAGGAGAAAUCUCUUCAGGUGAGACUUAAGUCGGAUCCAUCCUCUGCAGCUGUCUGUAGCUCCGCACAGAGGAGCAAUCUGCACUAUUAGGCCAAGACUGCCCACAGACUGCUCUAAUGCAAAAUGUGACUCGCUUGCCAAGGAAAGCAACGCUGGCAAUCCUAAAAGUGACUUUUCUCUAGCCCAUGGUUAAGAAGGGUAAGAGCUUCAAUCACUGCUCUGCUCUUGAUGAUUCCCUCUUGCUUGUUCUCUUCACAGCUGGAGUUUGAGAACUUUGCAGUUGAACUUAGCCCAGGCUGCACUUACAGUUCAGUUGCUGUUUACAGUGAUGAAGAUGAAAAUCAGCUGGCUAAUCUCUGUGGAUUCUCAGCUCCCAAACCAGUGCUGAGUCCAGGAAAUACGAUGCUGGUGCAUUUUGGAAGUGAUGGGGAGAACAGCUUCAGAGGAUUCAGAGCCCAUGUUACUUUUAUUCAUUCAGGUCUGAAAGUCUUUCCCCAAGUGUGUAAGAGGGAUUUUGCAGCAAGGCAGGUUCUUGUUGAUCUCAAAUCCUUUUGUGCCUAUUUCCAUGGACAAAAAGUAAUAAGGAGACAUCUGAGGCCUUCCCACAGUGGUGUUACUAGGGCUGAAUAGGCCUUUGCUCACAGCUGGCCACAGCAUGCUGCUCUGAACCUCCUUUGAGACUACCAGUUGUCAUCAGCCCCAUAUGGAUCCUGACAGCUGCCCACUGUGU